Non-coding RNA from Salmo salar (Atlantic salmon), 54 nucleotides. Lineage: Eukaryota; Metazoa; Chordata; Actinopteri; Salmoniformes; Salmonidae. The record is from Rfam.
UGUAUUCACUACUGUAAGUCGCUCUGGAUAAGAACGUCUGCUAAAUGACGUAAA